Long non-coding RNA from Manis pentadactyla (Chinese pangolin), 6284 nucleotides. RefSeq lists it as uncharacterized. The transcript is spliced from 3 exons. The record is from RefSeq and is a predicted model, not a curated record. Lineage: Eukaryota; Metazoa; Chordata; Mammalia; Pholidota; Manidae.
UGAAGACUCCAAAAAUGAGAAGACACAACAACAGCAUUCUGCUUGGCCCGCGGCCGAGCUGGGGAAUGCCAGAAAACAAUGUGAUGUGACUUACUUUGUGAUAAAUGAAGCAGAUGAAUAUGGAAGAAUAUGAAAGCAUGAAGGCUUCAGCAAGAAGCUAGGCUAUGAAGGAUCAAUAAAAGUUUGCUAGACAGACAGUGGGAAGGGGCAUGCCAGACAUACAGUCAAGAUAAUUACGUAGGUAACGUGAAGAGCAUACUGGACAGGGGCAUCCAAUGGCCCAGGGCAAGAUCUCAACGUGGGCGAUGGAUUCCCAAGGGGGCGUCCGGAGCGCAGGCAGGGGAGCUCCCUGUCCCCAGCUCCUCUGCUCUGGAGCCAACACCCCGCUUCACUGCACUGCUCCCGUUUGCUCUGAAACUCUCUCUGUGCAUUGCCUGGAACAACCAGAACAUGUCGGUCCACAGAAAAGAGACUCCAGUGCUGCUCAAGAAUGAUAGACAUGAAAUGACUACCUUCUAGUUUCGAUGAGGACAGUAUUUUUCCUUCUAUGUAUUCCUAGAACAGAGCACAGUACCUGAUAUGAAGAAGGAGGUCCGGAAACCUUGGCUGAGCCGGACUGACUCCCAGAGCCAUUUGCAGGGUGUAUUAGUUCCCCGUGGUUGCUGUAACAGGUCGCCACACACUGGGUAAAACAACAGAAAUCUCAUCUCUCCCAGGUCCGGAGGCUGGAAGUCUGAGAUCAAGGUGUCAGCAGGGCCAGGCUCCCCCGAAGGCUCUAGGGGAGGGUCCUUCCUUGCCUCUUCCAGCUACUGCUAGUUGCCAGCAGCCCCGUGUGCCUGGGCUUACAGAUGCAUCAUUCCAGCCUCUGCCCCUGGGGCCAUGUGGCCUUCCCCGGGUCUAACUUGCCCUCUUCUUGUAAGGACGUGAGUCAUUGCAGCAGGGUGCAUGCUAGCCCAGCAAGACCUCCUCUAGGCUUGAUUACAUCUGCAAACACUUUAUUCCAAAUGAGGGCACAGCAUAGGUACCUGGGCACUGGGACUUGGACUGUCUUUUUGGGGGAACAAUUCAGUCCAUAACAACGAAGGAUGGGGUGUGUGUGCCAUUCUUCUGUCUCCAGCAAACUGCACCGUCUCUGGAGGGACUCACUCCACGUGGGACAGGCUGUGCCCAAGGCAGCUCCAGAACUUCAAGCAACUGCAUGAUAUAGUCAGCAUGUGCUUGCCCCCGACCCAGGACCCGGAUAUGCAGAGGUGAAGGGGCACACCUGGACUCCACACUGAGUAAAUAAAACUGACUGUGUUUUAAACUUGCCAAGAGUCUAACAAACUCUGUUGGCACUUACAUGCCUAGAAAGCUUUUUAGGAAGAAAGAAAAUUAAUCAUCCUUUUGCCAACAGUUAGACAAAGACUCAUGAUUGGGAGAAUGUUUUUUCCUAGAAUUAUGCCUUAUCUACAAGGGCUUCUGGCAAACUGUGAAGCGCACUUUGGAGUGCCCGGAAUCUGAGCCCAGCCGGGAGCCCAGGGCAGGAGCAGGUUGGUGGUCUGACAGGAGGGCACAGCGCGGAGCGCCUUCCCAGGGACCAGAGGACAGACAGCCCUGUGCGGUCUCACUACAGGCCAGGCCGUUCCGCGCCCUGGGAAUCACCUGGGUGCCCCUUGUCCCGGCCCAGGGAGGAUGCCAGGCGCCACAGAGAACCGCCCUAGCAGGCCUUUGGCUUUGGGAGAGUUAGCUCCAGAGCUGCCACACCUUAGUCCUUGUGCCUUCUGGCCGUUUGCUUCCCUCCAUGUCACUGUGGAGCACUUACAGGGACAGGCCCUCAGUGGGCACCUCGCUGUAGUCCAGAGGUGCAGCAUUAUAAACCACACGUCCCCGUAACUACCAGCUUUGCCGUAACAGAGUUUUGGGAAAACCAGAUAUCCACAUGCAAAAUCAUGAAGUAUCACUUCCUUCCAGCAUACCAGAAGCUUCCCUGAAAUGGACCAUGGGCCUAAAGGUAAGAGUUAAAACUGCAACACUCUUAGGAGAAGUGAGAGAAGUAAAUCUUCAUGAUCUUGGGUUAGGUAAAGCCUUCUUAGAUAGAACGCAAAAAGCAUGACUGACAAGAGAAAAAAACAGAUAAAUUGGACUUCAUCAAAAUUAAAAACUUUUGUGCCACAAAGGAUGCCAUCAAAAAAGUCAAAAGAAAAUGCAUAGAAUAGGGGGGAAAGUGUCUGCAAAUUAUAUAUCUGAUAAGGGAGUUGUAUCAUGAAUACAAAAAGAUGUCUUACCACUCAAUAAUAAAAAGGCAAAAACCCAAUUUUAAAAAAUGGGCCAAGGGUUUGAAUUAGACAUUUCUUUAACAGAGACAGACAAAUGGUCAAUAAACAUAUAAAAAAGUGUUCAACGUCAUUUAUCAUUAGGAAAUUGCAAAAUCAAAACCACAGUGGGAUAUCACAUCAGAUCCAACAGGAGGGCUAUGCUAAAAAAACGAUUAAUAACAAGUGUUGAUCAGGGUGUGGAGAAACCUAACCCUCAUAUAUAGCCCGCGGGAAUGCAAAAUGGUGCAGCCAGUUUAGAAAAAGCCGGCAGUUCCUCCAAAGUUCAACCUAGAGUUACCAUUUCCACUCCAGGUAUAUUUCCAAGAGAGCUGAAAACCUAUGACCACAAAACUCACACAUGAAUGCUCAGAGCAGCGUUCUUCAUAAUAUCCAAAAAGCGGGAAAAACAAAUGUCUGUCAACUAAUGAAUGGAUGAAUAAAAUGCGAAAUGUCCAUAUAAUGGAAUAUUAUUUGGCAACAAAAAGAAUGAAUAACUGAUUCAGGCUAAAACCUUGAAAACAUUAGGCUGAAUGAAAGAAGCCAGUCCUAGAAGACAUCACAUUGUGUUAUUCCAUUUUUAUGAAAUAUUCUAAAGAGGCAAAUCUGUAGAGACAGGGUCAAGUUCAGUGGUUGCCUGGGGAUGGCGGUGGGUGGACAUGGGGAGUGACUGCUGGUGUACUAAUGGGUAUGGAGUUUCUUUUGGGAGUGAUAAAAAAUGCUCUAAAAUUGAUUUGGGGAUGGUGGCACAUCUCUAUGACUAUCCUAAAGCCAUUGAACUGUAUACAUUUCAAAUGGAUGAAUUGUAUGCUAUGUGAAUUAAAUCUCGAUGAAGCUGUUAUUUUUAAAAGAGUAAAUAUGUUUAGCAUGCUUAAAAUCUAAUUUCCUUCUUUCCUUCCUUCCUUCCAUCCAUCCAUCAAGUUUAUAAGCCUUCAGUGGAAUACAUUUAGCCCAUGAAAUGAAAUAUAUUAUCAGUUGGGUGAUAAGAAAAAGCAGCAAGCCAAAAAUGACAAGUUCAUUUAAUUUGAGGAACUACAAAGAGACCAUCAGAGGGGUAAGCAAGUCUUCUUAAUGGUAUUUAUUCCUUUUUUAUUCAACAUAGAUUUGUAGGACAUUUAUUAAAUAUUUGAGGCACUGCAUUAGGUGCUAUUUUGUGAUUUUGAAGCAACAGAUAUCCAUAUUUUCCACAGCAUAUACCUGAGACCAAGUUUCACAUGUUUUAUAACCAGUCUGCUAAGAUUACCACCUCCCUUUCUUCUAGCAAGUACUUCACAAGAGCUGACUUCGGUCUGUCACAAAUUGCUUAAAAAGAUUAAAUGCAAUCACAUGUGGACUUGAAAUUUACAGAAAUGCAAAACACUUCCUUAGGAAAUUCAUAAAAUACCUAUGUGUCUUGAGCAAUGAGUUUGUCUGGCAGCACGGGUGGGAAUCUUAGACCCACAAGGGAAGGGGGUGAGAAGCCACGCUGGCCUUUGUGGAUGCCUUUGUCCGUCACUGGGGGUUACAGGCCUGCUUUGGUUUAUAGAGGGUUGAGAGCGUGGCCCAGCAGGGGACAGGAGCCCAUGCCAGCCUGCUGACCCCUGGAGAAAUGGGCAGAUCACAAAAUUGCUGUCAGGACACUAGGGUCCACCAAGGUCAGUUCAGAACCUGUCCCUUUUCAGAGCAGAACUCAGACCUCAGGCCAGUGUCAUGUAAAAGUGUUGCUGAGGUCCCACCGCAGACCUUCAGAACCUGCAUCUCUGGAAGUGGGUCAGAUGAUGCCGGGAAGUAUGCAAACUACUGUCUUUGUACUCAGAUCUAAUGUGGAUUUCCAAGGUCCCUUUAAAAGGAAAGAGAGUUGGGACUUUAUAAUUCAGGACUCUUAGAGGCUAGAAAGAAUUCCCUGGGCCUGCACUAAUUUAUGCUGAGGUCUUCAGAACUUAAUUGAAUUGGGUUCUGGAGGUUAGGCAUAUGGGCAGGGAAAGUAGCCAUUCAUCUCAACUUUAAUUUAGGAUUAUUCCUUUCAUUUAUCUUCAGUAUUUGCAGAUCCAAUUCAGUUAUUUUCCUCCUGGAAUUAGCAACGAAGUAGUAAAAUAAUCCAGGAGAAAAGGUGUCUAUAUAUAUUCAGAUUUUACUCUGAUGGAACAAAAUGCAUUUAGAGAAAGCAGAAUUCUCCAGGGGGAAAAAAAAAAAGUUGGCUUUAGAACAAAAAUCAAAGGAAAAAAAAUGUAGCCAAAUACUUAAUCCACUAAAAUGUAUGCAUUAUUUUAGGAAAAGGGUUUUUCUCUAUUCAGUGUCUAAAUUUUCUUUAUUAUUUACCAAUAUUCCUGAUGCCAAAAGUGUCUCACCUAAUUCAUGAAUGCAUGAUUAUUUAUUGAGCAACUGGGCUGUGUCAGACAAGUAUCUAAAAUUGUAUUAUGUGACUGAAGGAUGAGUGAGGGGAAAAAACGGCAGACAGAGCAGGAGAGCCUGUGAGACUGUGUCUGUGUUUGGGUCCCUCUUGAUUUUGGUGAUCUGCCUUUAACUGAAUCACUGGGGUGUCUUUAGGGGUUCUCCCUUCAUGGGCCAGGAAUGUGGGCUCUACUGAAUUCAUUAGAACACUGUCCUACUUUGAACAACAGAUGCCUGUUCCAGCAGCCACUACCGGUGUUUUGCCUUCCUUCCAACUGAUCUGGUGGUUUGCUGGCUCUUUUAAAUCACAUUACAUACAUCCUUAGAAAUCUUUUGUGAAGGUAAAUUUGGUAUUUUUGAGCACUGAUCCUUCGCUCUCCUGAUUCCAGGCACAGAGGCGGCUCCCGACCUUCCUGAAUCAGGGUGAGCACUGACAAUCAUCUUUCAGGUAAACUCCGUGCAAGCGCUUUGUUGUCCUGACCAGGCCUGCUGGGCUGUCUUCCUGAUAAAGUCUCCUUUGCAGAUGCACCUCCUUUAGCGCAAACUCACUAUUAAUCAGUGAUACGUGUUUAUGACUCGAUCAUUUGGACAUGCAGUUAUCCCUUGUUUUACAAGAUUUCCUACAGCAAGCUCAGAUGACUAAACUCAAAACAUGUCAACCCAAGCUCAGCGUCUCUUCUUGGGAGUUUCUAAAGAACUUAGGUCUCAGAGACGGCACACUGACCAAAGUCUUUCCUAAUCAAAUGGCUAAUUGGUUAGUGACUGGGAUUCGGCUCCAUCGUGUUCUCUCCAUCCUCCACCCCCCACCAUUUCCCUUGGACUUCUGGGUCACUCGAGGGUUCACUUUAUUGUUGUUCUUGCUAGGCGAGCAUUGCUCCAGGACUACUAGUGCAUAAAACCCAUGCUUAGUGCAUCCCCAUCCCAAGCAGAGGACUGAGAUUUCUGCAAAGAUGUCCACGCUCUCAUCAGCAGGACAGCCCUUCCCCGGCCUGUACCGAUAUGUCUGAUGUUGCUCUAGACUACACUCUGUAUGGGGCCCCAACGGGUAACAGCCUCUGAGGAAGCCUUUACUCAGGCAGCUGGGCAGGCAGGCCCUCCAUCCACAACCUGCCAGGCCUGCUGUGUGCUGUGUGCAAGCUACUUAUCUUCUGUAUGUAUGGCAAGCUUCUCCACUCCUCCAGGCAAGGGAGAAAUGUCUGUGCACUCAAGUCUUUGGGAGGGAGCCCUUGUCUUUUACCUGGCUCUUCGAGUUCUCCAGUCCUUACUGAUUUUGAGUGACUGCUGAUCCAAGCUAAGACAUGCCCUUUCUGGGACAUUGUAUGAGAUAAAAAACCCCAUGAGCUGGGUCAGAAACAGGUGGCAGCUAUUGCUUUCAUGUGGACCUCUUUCCAAGAUGGAUAGAGCCAUACAGGAUUGUGGCUAUAACUCCAAGGACGGCUCCUGGGUGUGGGCAGGGCACAGACAAGGGCCUGUUCUGUGCAAGGCGGGACAGAGAGGGGUCCAGGAUUCCACACAAGAGCCACGCCACUCAAAGUCUGUUUGCUCCAGGGGCAGGCCCUGUUCAGACGGUUCAUCCGAGUAACUAAAGACAGAAAAUGACACACUCUGACUUGCCUUGGA